Molecule: long non-coding RNA, 497 nt
Organism: Hyalella azteca
Lineage: Eukaryota; Metazoa; Arthropoda; Malacostraca; Amphipoda; Hyalellidae
Exons: 5
Source: RefSeq, a predicted model, not a curated record
UCUACGAUGUUUUACGGUAGUGAUUUUGGACGUGUUUUCCACCUGCAAAACGUUGAUCUUGUGACCAAGACAGGCAAGAAAACGCUGGUUGGGAUCAGCUGCAUGGCUUGGCGAAAAUACGAAUCGCGUGUAUGACCGAUUUAAAGAUCGUGACCGGAGGUCAACGCUUCCAAUUCCAAGAUGAAGAUGAUGAACUAUUCAAAAGAAUCUCCGAUGAAUGGGCUACCGGAGGUAGCAGGAGGCCUGUACCCAGCAGGAGGUGCCAGGCAUCACAUUCACUGCAGCGUCGCCGGAGGAGCGAGUUACAUAAAAAAUGGCAAUACAUCAGACCCCGGCGUGCUGCUGCACGCAUCGGCCUGCCUGCACGCGACGCAUUUCCCCGCGCCUCUAGCAGGAGGAAACCGCGAACAUGAUGGCUGCACUCCCCUUCACUGCAGCGUCGCCGGAGAAGUGUUUACAUAAAAAAUUGUACAAAUAUUUUUGUCUUAUAAAAUUAU